Molecule: long non-coding RNA, 217 nt
Filed under: Elaeis guineensis (African oil palm)
Lineage: Eukaryota; Viridiplantae; Streptophyta; Magnoliopsida; Arecales; Arecaceae
Description: long non-coding RNA (EGUI_LNC020884)
Source: RNAcentral
AAUUCUUACUUCUAAUUAUAUGUUACGUCAGUGACAUAUCAAAAUAUUCUGAGAUACUCCAGCUCUCCCUACGGAUGCUCGUGCUCUCUGUACUCAUUCGAUCUCUGCCUCGGCCUACGAGCCCCAUGGCAAUCUUGGCUCCUGUAUCGACUGCUGACCCCCACCUCAACUAUCGACUCUAGACAUCGGCCAUCAAUCUACACUUUGAUGAGUGACC